Molecule: long non-coding RNA, 1821 nt
Filed under: Helianthus annuus (common sunflower)
Lineage: Eukaryota; Viridiplantae; Streptophyta; Magnoliopsida; Asterales; Asteraceae
Description: hypothetical non coding rna
Source: RNAcentral
UUACCAUCCUAUUUCUUCAUCUUUUUCCCUCGAUAUGAAGAAACCCUAAAUCAUUCUUCCUCACAAUCUAAGUCGUUCCUCUCAUCUCUCAAGGCGAUUCUUUAUCUUCCAAUAUUCCCUUCAUCAUCAUUGUGUGUUCUUGCACCUCUUGAUUUUCUUCAAGGUAAAGUGACGGCUCUUCUCUCAAACCCUAAUCCUCAAUUUUGCUUCAACCAUCCGCAGUCCAAAAGCCUACAAUCAUCAGGUAUUAUAACUAUUAUUCAAGUAAUUUUUUUUUAUUUUACAAUCGUGGCUAUUCAAUUCAAUUUUGAUCCACAAACCCUCAUCACAGAAUUACCUUUACACCAUUCUUUCCCUCUUUUCCUUUGUUGUUCGUUUGGUAUCUGUAACCAGGUAAGUGGUUACAGUUUGCAGCAAUUGUUCAUCUAUGUGCAUGAAUAGAUGUAGAGAUCUAUUUAUUUGUUUGAAAUUAGACUAGGGUUUUUGUUUAAUUUUGAUAUUUAGAUCUGUGGCUAUGCUAAGUUUCUGGUUUGUUUAAUUUUGACAUGUCCAUAUGGACAAUGCAUGUUCUUAUGACACAUGGGUUAAAUACGCCGGAUUUUCAGUUUUUUUUUCUAUUAGUGGCGUUUGAUAUUUAAAAAUUUUUUAAUUGAUGCCAAUUUUGUAUGUCAGAUUGUCUGUCAUGUACAACUGGUAUGUUUUGACUUAAUGGUAAAAAAAGUUAAAGAAUGGUCUGUUAUUGGGUGUUGAGAUUGUUGGAUUUGGUUCGGUUGUUAGAUAUCAAUUGGGUCCUUAAUGGCGUUUUUUGUUACUUUUUAGUGGUUUGAUUUUCUUUCUUUUUGAAUAUGUUAUGGGGUCCAGAUUUUGGUGGUUUGAUGCUAAUUCUAAUUAUUUAGUUCUAGGACGUAAAGCUUUUUGAAACAAGAAUCUAUGUGUGGAAUAGUAACUUUUCAUAUUUAAAUCAAGAGAGAGAACAGAGUAAAUAGGAUAGUGAGAAGGUUGUGGCUAACUUAGCAACUUCAAUACAGAGGGUUAAUACAAACGCUUAGGAGGAAUUGAACUCAGAAAAAGUGUUAUAUGCAAAUCAUGGUACAAUGGUGAUUUUUAUCUCUGAAAUCAGAUUUUAGCCAACUUAUUUUUUCUAAUUCUCUUUGUAGUUUGUACAAGAUAGCUCUUAAAUUUGAGGCAAAGGCAGCAGUUAUGGUCUUCCAUAGUCCAUAUGAAUGGCAAUUUUACAGUCGUGGACACGCUUGGACCUAGCUUAUGGGACGUAUGGAAUUCUUUUGGGCAAUUGUGAGUCCUUAAGGUAGAACCUUGGUUUUAGUCCUUGCUCCUUUAUUUUGCUUUGACCUGGGUAUUUUGUUUGUCGACUCACAAAAUUAUGCAUAUUAAAAUGACAAAUUAACUUUAAAAUGGUUGGAUAGCAUCAACAUAGAUUCCCAAGACUGCAAGGGAUUCUUUGUGCAGAAAGACUACAAAAUGUUUCCACCUUCAGUAAAUUUGGAUAAUAUUGAUUGGUCUACAACGAGGCUGCAAAUCGAUUUCCCUGUCCUGGUGGGCGUUACUAUGAAGGUUAGCACUAUUCAACUGGUCCCUUAGAAAUGUUGUUUUUGACACAAGUGGAUCCUAAAUUGGAACAAUAGCAAAGAUCUCAUCAUUUCUUUGUAAUUAUUUAAUGAUAUGAGUAUUCUACUACUCUAUAAUAAGUGGGAGUGAGGUUAGCAAAACAAGAUGGUGAUGGCGAUGGUCACUGGCGGAUACCACAUAUAGUAAAUUAUUAUUUUACAGUAAUAUUUUUUACUGUUCUAUGAAGUUGUUUUA